AUACUUACCUGGCAGGGGAGAUACCAUGAUCACGAAGGUGGUUUUCCCAGGGCGAGGCUUAUCCAUUGCACUCCGGAUGUGCUGACCCCUGCGAUUUCCCCAAAUGUGGGAAACUCGACUGCAUAAUUUGUGGUAGUGGGGGACUGCGUUCGCGCUUUCCNNNN
This 164-nucleotide small nuclear RNA is filed under the name Mustela putorius furo (domestic ferret). RNAcentral describes it as "U1 spliceosomal RNA (ENSMPUG00000023586.1)". It matches the Rfam family "U1 spliceosomal RNA". Rfam says of the family: U1 is a small nuclear RNA (snRNA) component of the spliceosome (involved in pre-mRNA splicing). Its 5' end forms complementary base pairs with the 5' splice junction, thus defining the 5' donor site of an intron. Lineage: Eukaryota; Metazoa; Chordata; Mammalia; Carnivora; Mustelidae. The record is from RNAcentral.